CACCGCGGUUAUACGAGAGGCCCAAGUUGAUAACCGCCGGCGUAAAAGGUGGAACUACAAAGAAGAACAAUAAAGCCGAAUGCCCUCAAGACUGUUAUAAGUUUUCGAGGGUAAGAAGACUACCAACGAAAGUGGCUUUAAAAAUGUAUAAUCCACGAAAGCUAGGGAA
Molecule: ribosomal RNA, 169 nt
Filed under: Acanthogobius luridus
Lineage: Eukaryota; Metazoa; Chordata; Actinopteri; Gobiiformes; Gobiidae
Description: partial 12S small subunit ribosomal RNA
Source: RNAcentral